CACUUAUUCAAUAUGUAAAUUGUGUGUGUGUGUGUGUGUGUGUGUGUGUGUGUGUGUGUGUGUGUGUGUGUGUGUGUGUGUGUGUGUGUGUGUGUGUGUGUGUGUGUCAAUUUACGCAACCCCGAGUUGCCCCACGAGGACUUCGCAGCAAAUGAAGUACAAAAAUAUAGUUUAAACAGCAAAUCGAAAAAAUGCAGAGGCCCGGCAGACUGGAGGGGGUCCACCACCUGCAGCCCUCACAGAGGCUGAGGAGAUGGCCCUCAGCCAACAGAGUAUGCGUCCUGUGGCUGAGGGCAUCCCUGGGGGGAGCUCCUCUGAUCCCCCCCACCCCCCAGGAUAGAAGUGCCUUUACAGUAUAAGAGUUACUGAUGGCGUCAUCGCCCUACUUGAACCAGAUGCCCUCACCAACCUCCAUGCAAUUGUAACAAUUCAAAAGAUGCAAAAGGAUGC
Long non-coding RNA from Gadus chalcogrammus (walleye pollock), 450 nucleotides. RefSeq lists it as uncharacterized. The transcript is spliced from 3 exons. The record is from RefSeq and is a predicted model, not a curated record. NCBI's taxonomy places the organism in Eukaryota, Metazoa, Chordata, Actinopteri, Gadiformes, Gadidae.